AUGCAAGUCGGACGGAAAGGCCCCCUUCGGGGGGUACUCGAGUGGCGCACGGGUGAGUAACGCGUGGGUAAGCUGCCUUCGGGUCUGGGACAACCCCGGGAAACUGGGGCUAAUACCGGAUAAGACCACGAGCUCUUUGGAGCUUGCGGAAAAAGAUGGCCUCUCCUUGGAAGCUAUCGCCUGUCGAUGAGCCCGCGUCCCAUUAGCUUGUUGGUGAGGUAACGGCUCACCAAGGCAUCGAUGGGUAGCUGGUCUGAGAGGAUGAUCAGCCACACUGGAACUGAGACACGGUCCAGACUCCUACGGGAGGCAGCAGUCAGGAAUUUUGGGCAAUGGGCGAAAGCCUGACCCAGCAACGCCGUGUGAGGGAUGAAGGCCCUCGGGUCGUAAACCUCUGUCGGGAGGGAAGAACGGUAGCCUUUCAAAUAGGUGGGCUGCCUGACGGUACCUCCAAAGGAAGCACCGGCUAACUCCGUGCCAGCAGCCGCGGUAAU
RNAcentral lists this ribosomal RNA (494 nucleotides) under uncultured bacterium. RNAcentral describes it as "bacterial SSU rRNA". It matches the Rfam family "Bacterial small subunit ribosomal RNA", at positions 55 to 524 of the family's 1533-position model. The record is from RNAcentral.